Molecule: long non-coding RNA, 331 nt
Filed under: Populus tremula
Lineage: Eukaryota; Viridiplantae; Streptophyta; Magnoliopsida; Malpighiales; Salicaceae
Description: long non-coding RNA (PTRE_LNC000652)
Source: RNAcentral
AAAAAUGCAAAUUCAAAAACUAAAUAAAAAUUACAUUAAAUAACUUAAAAUUUACAAAAUAGUCCCCCAACACUCCAGGAAUUGCCGGGAAGGACUUCUGGGGGCUGCAUGAACAGUGCCGGCGCGUGGAUCCACGCACCUCCGUCACUGGCGGCGCGUGGGUUCAAGCGCCGCUGCUGGAAACCAGAAAAAACAGAGGCGCCUGGAGCGGCUUCUUCUCCUCUUCAAUUUUCAGCCGGCGGUGAGGGUCCGGUCACCUGCAAACACACCAAAAACGCAAACAAAGCAGUUGAUUUUAGUUUUUUUUGUUUCAAAUCUGUUUUUAAAUUUU